RNAcentral lists this ribosomal RNA (253 nucleotides) under uncultured bacterium. RNAcentral describes it as "partial 16S ribosomal RNA". It matches the Rfam family "Bacterial small subunit ribosomal RNA", at positions 524 to 776 of the family's 1533-position model. The record is from RNAcentral.
UACGGAGGGUGCGAGCGUUGUUCGGAAUCACUGGGCGUAAAGGGCGUGUAGGCGGUCCGCUAAGUCUGAUGUGAAAGCCCGGGGCUUACCCCCGGAAGGGCAUUGGAAACUGGCGAACUCGAGUCCCGGAGAGGAAGGUGGAAUUCCUGGUGUAGCGGUGAAAUGCGUAGAUAUCAGGAGGAACACCGAUGGCGAAGGCAGGUCUCUGGGCAUUAACUGACGCUGAGGAGCGAAAGCAUGGGGAGCGAACAGG